This 453-nucleotide ribosomal RNA is filed under the name Triticum aestivum (bread wheat). RNAcentral's name for it is "partial small subunit ribosomal RNA". Lineage: Eukaryota; Viridiplantae; Streptophyta; Magnoliopsida; Poales; Poaceae. The record is from RNAcentral.
AUGAGCACCUAUCAAAAAGUGUUUCGAACAAGUCCCUCCGCCCCCAUCUUCUUCCUCCGCCCGUCGCCUGCGCGUCGCCAGGGGCCGGCGCCGCCCAGCUGCGUGAUUCGCCAAGGGCCGGCGAGCCCAGCUGAGCUCCUCCGCCGUAGCCAAGUACCUGCUCUCACCUUCGCCAAGUACCUGCUCUCGCCGUCGUCGCCAAUUACCUCCUCUACCGCCGCAGCCCAGACCUGCGCUGACGGUCCCCUCCCGCUGCCUGUGGGUUUCGCCGGAAUCUCCUGCCGCGCGCGUCCCUCCUGGAACCCCCGUGCAUCCUCCUCAAGCUCGCGUGCGUCCUCCAUCGUGCUCCCGCGCAUCCUGCUGGAGCUCCCACGCGUGCGCCGCCGCGAUCCCCUACCGGCGUCGCCGGAGCCUGCCUCCACGAUCCAGUGGACCGGGAGCUCACGCGUGUGA